CCACAUUGCAUUUGAGAAGCCUGGUUGCUCGCCUGCUGCCUUUGGACUAUGGCCCCCUGUUAAAAGACAUCUUUUUUUUACCUGCAGAAAAGCUUAAUUCGUGCUUUUCUGCCUGGGGUUCGGUAGAUUUGUUUGAAUGUGUUACACCCCAGAUAGGAAUCCCAUGGAGCCCAUUCGUAUGAAACUGACUGUAAAGACUUUGGCUCCAUGGCGAUUAAAC
Molecule: non-coding RNA, 220 nt
Organism: Pelobates cultripes (western spadefoot toad)
Lineage: Eukaryota; Metazoa; Chordata; Amphibia; Anura; Pelobatidae
Source: the annotation of a GenBank genome assembly